Molecule: ribosomal RNA, 468 nt
Filed under: uncultured bacterium
Lineage: Bacteria
Description: partial 16S ribosomal RNA
Rfam family: Bacterial small subunit ribosomal RNA
Source: RNAcentral
GACGAACGCUGGCGGCGUGCUUAACACAUGCAAGUCGAACGGUGAAGCUCCAGCUUGCUGGAGUGGAUCAGUGGCGAACGGGUGAGUAACACGUGAGCAACCUGCCCCUGACUCUGGAAUAAGCGCUGGAAACGGCGUCUAAUACUGGAUACGAGAAGGGUCCGCAUGGGCACUUUCUGGAAAGUUUUUCGGUUGGGGAUGGGCUCGCGGCCUAUCAGCUUGUUGGUGAGGUAAUGGCUCACCAAGGCGACGACGGGUAGCCGGCCUGAGAGGGCGACCGGCAACGCGGGGCCGGAGAAGGGCCACGGACCCGAAGGGGAGGCGGGGGUGGGGAAGUGUGCAGAGGGGGAGAAGCCGUAGUGCGGCGACGCCGCGUGGGGGAGGGGGGCCUGGGGUUUGAAAACCACUUUCAGCAGGGAAGAGGGGAAAGUGACGGUACCGGGAGAAGAAGCCCCGGCUAACUACGUG